UACGUAGGGGGCUAGCGUUGUCCGGAAUCAUUGGGCGUAAAGCGCGUGUAGGCGGUCCGGUAAGUCCGCUGUGAAAGUCGAGGGCUCAACCCUCGAAUGCCGGUGGAUACUGUCGGGCUAGAGUGCGGAAGAGGCGAGUGGAAUUCCUGGUGUAGCGGUGAAAUGCGCAGAUAUCGUAAGGAAGACCAGUGGCGAAGGCGGGUCUCUGGACAGUUCCUGACGCUGAGGCACGAAGGCCAGGGGAGCAAACGGG
This 253-nucleotide ribosomal RNA is filed under the name uncultured bacterium. RNAcentral's name for it is "partial 16S ribosomal RNA". It matches the Rfam family "Bacterial small subunit ribosomal RNA", at positions 524 to 776 of the family's 1533-position model. The record is from RNAcentral.